Long non-coding RNA from Pristis pectinata (smalltooth sawfish), 578 nucleotides. RefSeq lists it as uncharacterized. The transcript is spliced from 3 exons. Lineage: Eukaryota; Metazoa; Chordata; Chondrichthyes; Rhinopristiformes; Pristidae. The record is from RefSeq and is a predicted model, not a curated record.
AAACAAUCGACCACAAUUUUAACCCCUUGUUGACUGAUUGGCUUUUGAAUUAUUGGACUUGUACUGCUGUGCAUUCUUUUAGCUAGGGGAAGGAGCUCAGUCAGGAGAAAGUCUUGGACGGGGCUUCGAUGAGACCACACCUGGAGCACCGUGCGCAGCUUUGAUCUCCAUCCUGAGGAGGAAGACAGGCUGCAGAGGCAGCACAGCCCAGGUUCACUGGGAUAAUGAGGCUGUCCUACAGGAAGGCAGUGAGUGGGAUGGUCCUAGACUCAACUAGAGUUGAGCAGAACAAGAGGCCCUCAUUGAGACUCACAGAAGGCACUGGCAGGCUGAUGCUGAGGAGCUGCUUCCCCUCGCUUGGAGACUUGCAAACCAGGAGGCAUGGACUCCGGAUAACUUGGGACUGAGAUUACUAGAGGAAGCCACAGUGCAGGGAAAGAGGCAGCUCUUCUUGAAUGGGCGAAUAGUUGGAACCCCAAAUGACUCAAAACUGGAUUGGAUGGGUGUCAGGUGCCUAGCUGUCUGCUGCCGAACCAGGGAACACAUGUUCCAGAGAAACCAAAGAGCAGGAAGAAGCC